AUGCCUCCUCUCAUCUACACAUUACUCGGGCUUCUCCUCCUCUCGUACGCAGCUCCUCGAUGCUCCUCUGCAGGCGACACUCUCAUGGCAGGCCAAACUCUCGCGGCCGUUGGUGCUGGUGCCGGCAAGCUCGUCUCAAGAAAUGGCAAGUACGCGCUCGGCUUCUUCCAACCAGCUACAAUGAUUGCAAGCACCAUGAGUAGUAGUAACUCCAGCUCUAGCUGGUACUUUGGCAUAUGGUUCAAUAAAAUUCCAGUUUUUACUACUGUGUGGGUUGCUAAUAGGGAGGAGCCCAUCGCUCAUCCCAAUAUCAACUCCACACAGCUCAGGAUCUCAAGUGACGGUAAUCUUGUCAUCAUCGUACACCAUGUUGAAUCCCUUGUCUGGUCCACUCACAUCGUCAAUAGGACACAAACCACCACCACCACUACAACCCUUGUUCUCCUAAACAGUGGAAACCUUGUCCUCCUACCCACAAACACUAGCCAAGAGAUGCCGUCGUGGCAGAGCUUCGACCACCCAACAGAUGUUGUGCUUCCUGGCGUCAAGCUUGGCUGGGACAAGGUCACCGGCUUGAGUAACACGAUCAUCUCAAAGAAGAGUCUCAUUAAUCCUGGUCUUGGCUCAUACAGUGUUGGACUAGAAGGUGCCAUGGGAAUGGUCCUCAAGCGCCGCAACAGCCCCUCUGUAGUGUAUUGGCAAUUUGUGUCCUCUACAACGUCAACAUUGGUACCAAUAAUCCGGUCACUGGUAGAUUUGGAUCCUCGGAUUAAAGGUCUGGUUAACCCAACAUAUGUUGAUAACAACCGAGAGGAGUACUACAUGUACACUUCACCGGAUGAAUCACCACCUUUAUUUGUCUCACUAGACACCUCUGGUCAAAUAAAAAUGAUGUUUUGGUCUCAAGCCAAAAAGACCUGGGAAACCAUAGGUGCCAACCCUGAUGGUCGCUGCAUGACGCCUGCUACAUGUGGUCCUUUUGCAGUCUGCAACAACAAUGCACAUAUAUUAUCUGAGUGUAUGGAGGGCUUCUCUCAGAAGUCACCACAGGAUUGGGAGUUUAAUGAUAGAACAGGCGGAUGCAUCAGAAACACACCAUUACAGUACUGCGGCACUAGUGAGAAAAACAUGACAAGUUCAAAAGACAUGUUCCGCCCGAUUGCUCAAGCUACAUUGCCCUACAAGCCCCAACUAAUAGCCCUUGCUUCAACUCAGACAAAAUGCGAAGAAGCUUGUCUUAGCUCUUGCUCUUGCACUGCUUAUUCCUUUAACAAUGACAAAUGCUCUGUCUGGUAUGGGGAAUUACUUAGUGUAAAUAUGAAUGAUGGCAUUGAUUUUACAGCUGAAGAUGUUCUUUACAUUCGCCUUGCCGCCAAAGAUUUAAGUUUUAGAAAAAAUAAAAGAAAACCGCAUGUUGGAGUUGUUACUGCGGGAGCCAUUAUUGGCCUUGGGUUACUAAUGCUCAUGGUGUUGUUAUUGAUUUGGAUGAAGAAAUUCAAGUGGUGUGGUUUUCCUUUAUACGGCAAUCAAGAUAAUGGUGGAGGGAUUAUGGCCUUCAGAUUCACAGAUUUAGUCCGCGCUACUAAAAACUUCUCAGAAAAGCUAGGAGGAGGUGGUUUUGGUUCUGUAUACAAGGGGGUAUUAAAUAACUCAACUAGUAUCGCAGUGAAAAGGCUUGAUGGUGCUUCUCAAGGAGAGAAGCAAUUCAGGGCCGAGGUGAGCUCAGUUGGACUCAUCCAACACAUCAACAUAGUCAAACUGAUUGGCUUCUGCAGCCAAGGUGAUAAAAGGUUACUUGUAUAUGAACACAUGUCAAAUGGGUCUCUGGAUGGCCAUCUGUUUAAGAAGAGCAAUGCUAAUGGUGAUAUCCUGAACUGGAACACUAGAUUUCAAAUAACCCUUGGAAUUGCUAGAGGAUUGUCCUACUUGCAUCAGAGUUGUCGCUAA
RNAcentral lists this ribosomal RNA (1947 nucleotides) under Triticum aestivum (bread wheat). Its description in RNAcentral is "partial small subunit ribosomal RNA". Lineage: Eukaryota; Viridiplantae; Streptophyta; Magnoliopsida; Poales; Poaceae. The record is from RNAcentral.